Molecule: long non-coding RNA, 593 nt
Organism: Diospyros lotus (date-plum)
Lineage: Eukaryota; Viridiplantae; Streptophyta; Magnoliopsida; Ericales; Ebenaceae
Exons: 3
Source: RefSeq, a predicted model, not a curated record
UGGAAAACUCUAGAGAUAUUGUGCUAUUCUUAUGCAUUUGCCAUCCCCUUUUAUAUUCUUGUUCAAUUCAGCCGCCGUUCGGCGCAAGGUUCCGACGACUCUGGACGGCAGUCUCGAGCGACUGAUUGCUGCGUUCGAGAGUCCGCUGAAUGAUUCGAAACGGAGAAGAUCUAUAGCAGGAACCAGAUGGCUAAUCCUAUGUAUCAAAGCUAUCAACUAAUUCAGAGGGCCGUUCUCUACUGAUCUUCUCUCCAGUAGAGGUCAUAAUCUAAGGUGCCCUAGCUCAUAGACUGAGUCUUGAUGCUAUGGUCUGAUGAUCAUUGAAAUAAUUCCAGGAAACCCUUUGAAGCGCUUUGAUUAAAUCCUUAGGAAAUUGAUACGGUUUCCAAAAUGGAGCGCCGAAUUGAUUGGUCAAAUUUAUUUUAUGGGUAACCUUCGGAAGCAACCCCAGGAAUGGGAGGAACUCAAACAUAAACGAAGACGUAGCACGAAUAAUGUUCUUUGUAGCCAAAGACAUUUGAAGAAAGUCCAAUGAGGUCGGAACGAUGGGUCAUCCGUCCCUGAACAUAACCAUGUUAGACGUCGAAGUUUAA